UACGUAGGGUGCGAGCGUUGUCCGGAAUUACUGGGCGUAAAGAGCUCGUAGGUGGUUUGUCGCGUUGUUCGUGAAAACCGGGGGCUUAACCCUCGGCGUGCGGGCGAUACUGGCAGACUUGAGUACUGCAGGGGAGACUGGAAUUCCUGGUGUAGCGGUGGAAUGCGCAGAUAUCAGGAGGAACACCGGUGGCGAAGGCGGGUCUCUGGGCAGUAACUGACGCUGAGGAGCGAAAGCGUGGGGAGCGAACAGG
This 253-nucleotide ribosomal RNA is filed under the name uncultured bacterium. RNAcentral describes it as "partial 16S ribosomal RNA". It matches the Rfam family "Bacterial small subunit ribosomal RNA", at positions 524 to 776 of the family's 1533-position model. The record is from RNAcentral.